Long non-coding RNA from Oreochromis aureus, 508 nucleotides. The record is from Ensembl. NCBI's taxonomy places the organism in Eukaryota, Metazoa, Chordata, Actinopteri, Cichliformes, Cichlidae.
CAGCCUCUGGCUCCAAAUUUGCAAGAUGGCAGCCUCCACAAGCGGGAUAUUUUGGCUUCAUUUUUGCACAAUGGGAGGAGGCGGAGUCGCGUCGUCCAUGUUUUCUACUGUCAAUGGUGUGAACGAAGUCUGGCUCCUUUAAUCCUGCAUGACAAACCUCAGGAUGCAGUUCUCCACAGUCGCUGUCUACAUGGGUCAGUGGGACCAAGAAGCACUCUGCUAAUGUGGGACUCUGACCAGCAACAUCCAGCAAGACCCAGGUAGCGUUUUCUAUCUCCCAGCUGGAGUUUUUUGUUUGUGACGGGAGAGUCAGAUUUUUGUUGAGGCUGGAGGAACAGCCUCACACUUGCAGAGGUUAAUACACGCUACUGAUCCCUGAUGGGAGAAUCAUCACCUCUGCCAACAAAGAAGCCUGGUGGAUGUUUGUUUACAGUCUGAUGAUGGGACACCAUGCUCUGCAUCUUCAAAGUUUGUCUCUUGCUUAUUAUUCAUACACAGUAAUGUGAAG